UUUUCGUCAAUGGGCGCAAGCCUGAACGAGCAAUGCCGCGUGAACGAGGAAGGUCUUCGGAUCGUAAAGUUCUGUUGAAGGGGAAAACGAGCGGAGAGAGGAAAUGAACUCCGAUUGAUAUUACCCUUCGAGGAAGUCACGGCUAACUACGUGCCAGCAGCCGCGGUAAUAAGUAGGUGGCGAGCGUUAACCGGAAUGAUUCGGCGUAAAGUGUGCGUAGGCGGCCUGCUAAGUCUGGAGUGAAAAGUACCGGCUCAACCGGUACAGGCUCUGGAAACUGGCGGGCUAGAGAGCAGGAGAGGGCGGUGGAACUCCAUGUGUAGCGGUAAAAUGCGUAGAUAUAUGGAAGAACACCAGUGGCGAAGGCGGCCGCCUGGCCCGUUGACUGACGCUGAGGCACGAAAGCGUGGGGAGCAAAUAGG
Molecule: ribosomal RNA, 422 nt
Filed under: uncultured bacterium
Lineage: Bacteria
Description: bacterial SSU rRNA
Rfam family: Bacterial small subunit ribosomal RNA
Source: RNAcentral